GAAAAAGCAAGGAAAGUGUCAGUAGAAAUAAUUUUUCUAUCAGAGAGAGGAGAUCAUCGGCUGAAAGUCACCUUUAGUUCAGAAUUAUUUUGAGAUUCCCACUGGAGCUGCUUCUCUGAAAACAGUAGGAGAUGCCGUUUGCUGCGCGUUAAGCAGAUGAGUGCCUGCAUAAGCAAAGAAGAUAUGCAGGAAACAGGGUGGUACCGCGAGAUAGCUUCGUCCCUUUU
Molecule: non-coding RNA, 227 nt
Filed under: Blautia sp.
Lineage: Bacteria; Bacillati; Bacillota; Clostridia; Lachnospirales; Lachnospiraceae
Description: T-box sequence
Rfam family: T-box leader
About the family: Uncharged tRNA acts as the effector for transcription antitermination of genes in the T-box leader family.
Source: RNAcentral